This 253-nucleotide ribosomal RNA is filed under the name uncultured bacterium. Its description in RNAcentral is "partial 16S ribosomal RNA". It matches the Rfam family "Bacterial small subunit ribosomal RNA", at positions 524 to 776 of the family's 1533-position model. The record is from RNAcentral.
UACGGAAGGUGCGAGCGUUAAUCGGAAUUACUGGGCGUAAAGCGCACGUAGGCGGUUAUGUAAGUUGGAUGUGAAAGUCCUGGGCUUAACCUGGGGAUUGCAUCCAAAACUACAUGACUAGAGUAGGGUAGAGGGAGGUAGAAUUUCCGGUGUAGCGGUGAAAUGCGUAGAGAUCGGAAGGAAUACCAGUGGCGAAGGCGGCCUCCUGGAUUCAUACUGACGCUGAGGUGCGAAAGCAUGGGGAGCAAACAGG